GAUGAAGAACGUAGCGAAAUGCGAUACUUGGUGUGAAUUGCAGAAUCCCGUGAACCAUCGAGUCUUUGAACGCAAGUUGCGCCCGAAGCCAUUAGGCCGAGGGCACGCCUGCCUGGGCAUCACACGUCGUUGCCCCCCCAUCUACUCCUUCGGGAUUGCGGGGGGCGGAUGAUGGCCUCCCGUGCGCCUCGUCGCGCGGUUGGCAUAAAUGCCAAGUCCUCGGCGACGCACGCCACGACAAUCGGUGGUUGCGAAACCUCGGUUGCCCGUCGUGUGCGGUCGUCGCGCAUCGAGGGCUCGAAAAAAUUGCCGGGCUCCGGCUCGGCUUUCAACGCGACCCCAGGUCAGGCGGGGUUACCCGCUGAAUUUAAGCAUAUCAAUAAGCGGAGGA
RNAcentral lists this unclassified non-coding RNA (391 nucleotides) under soil metagenome. Its description in RNAcentral is "partial contains 5.8S ribosomal RNA, internal transcribed spacer 2, and large subunit ribosomal RNA". The stretch from base 1 to 122 matches the Rfam family "5.8S ribosomal RNA", at positions 35 to 154 of the family's 154-position model. The record is from RNAcentral.